Molecule: ribosomal RNA, 2188 nt
Filed under: human gut metagenome
Description: bacterial LSU rRNA
Rfam family: Bacterial large subunit ribosomal RNA
Source: RNAcentral
AGUGGUUGUAGACGCGAAACCUUGCGAUCUACCCUUGAGCAGGUUGAAGGUUGGGUAAAACCAACUGGAGGACCGAACGAAUAAGCGUUGAAAAGCUUCUCGAUGACUUGAGGGUAGGGGUGAAAGGCUAAUCAAGCUGGGAAAUAGCUCGUACUCCCCGAAAUGCCUUUUGGGGCAGCGUUGUAAUAAAGAGUCUACUGGAGGUAGAGCUACUGAUUGGAUGCGGGGGCUUCACCGCCUACCAAAUCCUGACAAACUCCGAAUGCCAGUAGUAUGAUUUACAGCAGUGAGUGACUGGGUGCUAAUGUCCAGUCGCAAAAGAGGAACAACUCAGACCAGCAACUAAGGUCCCGAAGAAUAUGCUAAGUUGAUCUAACGAUGUUUUGUUGCAGAGACAGCUAGGAUGUUAGCUUGGAAGCAGCUAUUCAUUCAAAGAGUGCGUAACAGCUCACUAGUCGAGCGACAGAGCGUGGAUAAUAAACGGGCAUCAAGCAUAUCACCGAAGUUCUGGGCGCGAGAGCGCGGUAGGGGAGCAUUCCAUUCAGCGUCGAAGCAGUUUCGUGAGGAAUUGUGGAGCGUAUGGAAAAGCAAAUGUAGGCAUGAGUAACGAUAAUGCGGGAGAGUAACCCGCACACCGCAAGACCAAGGUUUCCUGAUCAACGCUAAUCGGAUCAGGGUUAGUCGGGUCCUAAGGGUAAGCCGAACGGCGAUCUCGAUGGAUAAUCGGUUAAUAUUCCGAUACUAACAUAUACCUCGAUGGAGAGACGAAGGAACGUAAGUGCCGCCACCUGACGGAAUAGGUGGUUAAAGGGCGUAGGUAUAGGGGCAGAUUAAGAGUUAGUCCUUGCUGAAACCUGACAGUACAGAGAGCCUACGGGCAAUUUGAUAGAGCACCCAAGUCGACUUCCGAGAAAAUCUUCUAAGUUAUAGUAUAUGUUACCCGUACCGUAAACCGACACAGGUGGUCGAGGAGAGUAUCCUAAGGUGCUCGAGUGAAUCACGGUUAAGGAACUAGGCAAAUUAACCCCGUAACUUCGGGAAAAGGGGUCCCUAUGAAAGUAGGGCGCAGCGAAGAGGUCCAGGCGACUGUUUAUCAAAAACACAGGGCUCUGCAAAUUCGAAAGAAGACGUAUAGGGCCUGACACCUGCCCGGUGCUGGAAGGUUAAGAGGGGAUGUCAUCGCAAGAGAAGCAUUGAAUCGAAGCCCCAGUAAACGGCGGCCGUAACUAUAACGGUCCUAAGGUAGCGAAAUUCCUUGUCGGGUAAGUUCCGACCUGCACGAAUGGUGUAACGAUCUGGACACUGUCUCAACCGUGAGCUCGGUGAAAUUGUAGUCCCGGUGAUGAUGCCGGGUACCCGCAACGGGACGAAAAGACCCCGUGAACCUUUACUAUAGCUUAACGCUGAAUUUGGGUACACAAUGUGUAGGAUAGGCCGGAGGCUUUGAAGCGGGCACGCCAGUGUUCGUGGAGCCGACGUUGAAAUACGGCCCUUUGUGUAUUUGAGUUCUAACCCUGCGAAGGGGACACCGUUUGGUGGGUAGUUUGACUGGGGUGGUCGCCUCCAAAAGCGUAACGGAGGCUUCCCAAGGUACCCUCAGCACGAAUGGUAACCGUGCGCGGAGUGCAAUAGCAUAAGGGUGCUUGACUGUGAGACAUACAAGUCGACCAGGUACGAAAGUAGGGUAUAGUGAUCCGGUGGUUCUGCGUGGACUGGCCAUCGCUCAAAGGAUAAAAGGUACUCCGGGGAUAACAGGCUGAUCGCCGCCAAGAGCUCAUAUCGACGCGGCGGUUUGGCACCUCGAUGUCGGCUCGUCACAUCCUGGGGCUGGAGAAGGUCCCAAGGGUUCGGCUGUUCGCCGAUUAAAGUGGCACGCGAGCUGGGUUCAGAACGUCGUGAGACAGUUCGGUCUCUAUCUGUUGCGGGCGUAGGAAGAUUGAGGGGUCCUGACUUUAGUACGAGAGGACCGAGUUGGACGAACCUCCGGUGUAUCGGUUAUGCUGCCAAGUGUACUGCCGAGUAGCCGCGUUCGGUCUGGAUAAGCGCUGAAAGCAUCUAAGCGCGAAGCCAUCCCCGAGAUAAGUCUUCCCUUGAGGGGCGUAGGAGACUACUACGUUGAUAGGCUGCAGGUGUAAAGACAGCAAUGUCAAAGCCGAGCAGUACUAAUUACCCGAUAGGCUUUCUUUUU